This 35-nucleotide transfer RNA is filed under the name Hemiselmis andersenii. Its description in RNAcentral is "partial Selenocysteine transfer RNA". The record is from RNAcentral. Lineage: Eukaryota; Cryptophyceae; Cryptomonadales; Hemiselmidaceae.
AAAACCUGAUCGUGAUUCCCGCCGCCGAUGGCCUG